UACGUAGGGGGCAAGCGUUGUCCGGAUUUAUUGGGCGUAAAGAGCGUGUAGGCGGCUUUGCAAGUCCGUUGUGAAAACUCGAGGCUCAACCUCGAGACGCCGGUGGAAACUGCAAAGCUAGAGUCCGGAAGAGGAGAGUGGAAUUCCUGGUGUAGCGGUGAAAUGCGCAGAUAUCAGGAAGAACACCCGUGGCGAAGGCGGCUCGCUGGGACGGUACUGACGCUGAGACGCGAAGGCGUGGGGAGCGAACAGG
RNAcentral lists this ribosomal RNA (253 nucleotides) under uncultured bacterium. Its description in RNAcentral is "partial 16S ribosomal RNA". It matches the Rfam family "Bacterial small subunit ribosomal RNA", at positions 524 to 776 of the family's 1533-position model. The record is from RNAcentral.